This is a long non-coding RNA of Sebastes umbrosus (honeycomb rockfish), 203 nucleotides long. RefSeq lists it as uncharacterized. NCBI's taxonomy places the organism in Eukaryota, Metazoa, Chordata, Actinopteri, Perciformes, Sebastidae. The transcript is spliced from 3 exons. The record is from RefSeq and is a predicted model, not a curated record.
UUUCCUGCAUUAUAUUACUCGCUUGCUAAAUUGUUAGCGUCUCUGGCUUCUAGACGCCGACAGUAACGUUAAUAUUACCGUUGCUUAGCAGCGGUGUUCUUAUGACUUAACCACUUGAACACCAAGCAUAUGUGUACACGACUUCUCAUGUUGUAAACAAGAGGUCACGAGUUUCAUUUGAAGGCACCAAAAGUAUCCAACAA